AGGAGCCUGGGGUGAGCCAAGAUAGAAAAG
RNAcentral lists this non-coding RNA (30 nucleotides) under Cricetulus griseus (Chinese hamster). Lineage: Eukaryota; Metazoa; Chordata; Mammalia; Rodentia; Cricetidae. The record is from RNAcentral.